AGCAGCCGCGGUAAUUCCAGCUCCAAUAGCGUAUAUUAAAGUUGUUGCAGUUAAAAAGCUCGUAGUUGAAUUUCGGGAUCAAUACGUCGGUCGUGCUUCGGUACGUACUGGCGUCAUUGAUUUCUCCCUUCUGACGAACCAUGAUGUCAUUAACUUGGUGUCAUGGGAAAUCAGGACUGUUACUUUGAAAAAUUAGAGUGUUUAAAGCAGGCUCACGCUUGAAUACAUUAGCAUGGAAUAAUGAAAUAGGACGUUCGAUCCUAUUUUGUUGGUUUUAGGAUCGACGUAAUGAUUAAUAGGGAUAGUUGGGGGCAUUAGUAUUCAAUUGUCAGAGUGAAAUUCUUGGAUUUAUUGAAGCUAACUACU
Molecule: ribosomal RNA, 366 nt
Filed under: uncultured Glomus
Lineage: Eukaryota; Fungi; Glomeromycota; Glomeromycetes; Glomerales; Glomeraceae
Description: SSU rRNA
Rfam family: Eukaryotic small subunit ribosomal RNA
Source: RNAcentral